CCUACGGGAGGCAGCAGUGAGGAAUAUUGGUCAAUGGACGAGAGUCUGAACCAGCCAAGUAGCGUGAAGGAUGACUGCCCUAUGGGUUGUAAACUUCUUUUAUAGGGGAAUAAAAUGUGCCACGUGUGGGAUUUUGUAUGUACCAUAUGAAUAAGGAUCGGCUAACUCCGUGCCAGCAGCCGCGGUAAUACGGAGGAUCCGAGCGUUAUCCGGAUUUAUUGGGUUUAACGGGAGCGUAGGGGGUUUGUUAAGUCAGUUGUGAAAGUUUGCGGCUCCACCGUAAAAUUGCAGUUUAAACUGGCAGUCUUGAGUACAGUAGCGGUGGGCGGAAUUCGUGUUGUAGCGG
Molecule: ribosomal RNA, 346 nt
Filed under: uncultured bacterium
Lineage: Bacteria
Description: partial 16S ribosomal RNA
Rfam family: Bacterial small subunit ribosomal RNA
Source: RNAcentral